AGAGUUUGAUCCUGGCUCAGGACGAACGCUGGCGGCGUGCUUAACACAUGCAAGUCGAACGGUGAAGAGAGCUUGCUCUCUGGAUCAGUGGCGAACGGGUGAGUAACACGUGAGUAACCUGCCCUUGACUCUGGGAUAAGCACUGGAAACGGUGUCUAAUACCGGAUACGACCUAUGAAGGCAUCUUCUAUAGGUGGAAAGAAUUUCGGUCAAGGAUGGACUCGCGGCCUAUCAGCUAGUUGGUGAGGUAAUGGCUCACCAAGGCGACGACGGGUAGCCGGCCUGAGAGGGUGACCGGCCACACUGGGACUGAGAUACGGCCCAGACUCCUACGGGAGGCAGCAGUGGGGAAUAUUGCACAAUGGGCGCAAGCCUGAUGCAGCAACGCCGCGUGAGGGACGACGGCCUUCGGGUUGUAAACCUCUUUUAGUAGGGAAGAAGCGAAAGUGACGGUACCUGCAGAAAAAGCACCGGCUAACUACGUGCCAGCAGCCGCGGUAAUACGUAGGGUGCAAGCGUUAUCCGGAAUUAUUAGGCGUAAAGAGCUCGUAGGCGGUUUGUCGCGUCUGCUGUGAAAACUGGAGGCUCAACCUCUAGCCUGCAGUGGGUACGGGCAGACUAGAGUGCGGUAGGGGAGAUUGGAAUUCCUGGUGUAGCGGUGGAAUGCGCAGAUAUCAGGAGGAACACCGAUGGCGAAAGGCAGAUCUCUGGGCCGUAACUGACGCUGAGGAGCGAAAGCAUGGGGAGCGAACAGGAUUAGAUACCCUGCUAGUCCAUGCCGUAAACGUUGGGAACUAGAUGUAGGGACCAUUCCACGGUUUCUGUGUCGCAGCUAACGCAUUAAGUUCCCCGCCUGGGGGAGUACGGGCCGCAAG
This 875-nucleotide ribosomal RNA is filed under the name uncultured bacterium. RNAcentral's name for it is "bacterial SSU rRNA". It matches the Rfam family "Bacterial small subunit ribosomal RNA", at positions 8 to 892 of the family's 1533-position model. The record is from RNAcentral.